Molecule: ribosomal RNA, 460 nt
Filed under: uncultured bacterium
Lineage: Bacteria
Description: partial 16S ribosomal RNA
Rfam family: Bacterial small subunit ribosomal RNA
Source: RNAcentral
CCUACGGGAGGCAGCAGUGAGGAAUAUUGGUCAAUGGACGCAAGUCUGAACCAGCAAUGCCGCGUGCAGGAAGACGGCUCUAUGAGUUGUAAACUGCUUUUGUACGAGGGUAAACGCAGAUACGCGUAUCUGUCUGCAAGUAUCGUACGAAUAAGGAUCGGCUAACUCCGUGCCAGCAGCCGCGGUAAUACGGAGGAUUCAAGCGUUAUCCGGAUUUAUUGGGUUUAAAGGGUGCGUAGGCGGUCGGAUAAGUUAGAGGUGAAAUCCCGAGGCUCAACUUCGGAAUUGCCUCUGAAACUGUUCGGCUAGAGAGUAGUUGCGGUAGGCGGAAUGUAUGGUGUAGCGGUGAAAUGCUUAGAGAUCAUACAGAACACCGAUUGCGAAGGCAGCUUACCAAGCUACUUCUGACGUUGAGGCACGAAAGCGUGGGGAGCAAACAGGAUUAGAUACCCCAGUAGUC